This is a long non-coding RNA of Triplophysa dalaica, 519 nucleotides long. RefSeq lists it as uncharacterized. The transcript is spliced from 3 exons. The record is from RefSeq and is a predicted model, not a curated record. NCBI's taxonomy places the organism in Eukaryota, Metazoa, Chordata, Actinopteri, Cypriniformes, Nemacheilidae.
CGUAAACUGAGGUUGAUAUUUGAAUUGUUGUGAUAGAUACAACGUCAGGUGGAUGUGUUAGUUUAUUAGAUCUGUUUGUGCUGCUAUGAUCAUGGCUGGAGUUGUGAUGAUGAUGUUAAUCUUCGGUGUAGUUACGGGAUUGUAAUCUUGUCUCUUCAGUUCCAUCGGCCGUCAGGGGUCUAAACUGUGAGUAUUCGUGGACAAACAAGGCUGAGAUUCUUGGGUUCAUCCAAAUGUUGUGCAGUCUAUGUAUCAAUUUGAGGUCCAAGUAAAUGAAAGAAGUCCAAAAAUCAUCUAUGAAACAUGGUAUCAGAUUGCUGACGUGCUGUCAGUUGGGUAUUUUGACAUCAGCAUUACAUCACAUUACGGAUGCAGGAGAAGUGAGCCGAUGUCAAUCCGGUGUAAAACCAAAUUAAAAGGGGUCAUUGUGGGAUCUGUGGCUGCUGUGGCUGUCUAUUCAUAAUAUGUGUGCUGAGUUGCCGUGAAGUCUUCAUCAGGCUCAGAUCUUUCAAAAGGUUU